UACGGAGGGUGCAAGCGUUAUCCGGAUUCACUGGGUUUAACGGGUGCGUAGGCGGCGCGGUAAGUCGGGUGUGAAAUCUUGGAGCUUAACUCCGAAACUGCAUUCGAUACUGCCGUGCUUGAGGACUGGAGAGGAGACUGGAAUUUACGGUGUAGCGGUGAAAUGCGUAGAUAUCGUAAGGAAGACCAGUGGCGAAGGCGGGUCUCUGGACAGCUCCUGACGCUGAGGCACGAAGGGCAGGGGAGCAAACGGG
Molecule: ribosomal RNA, 253 nt
Filed under: uncultured bacterium
Lineage: Bacteria
Description: partial 16S ribosomal RNA
Rfam family: Bacterial small subunit ribosomal RNA
Source: RNAcentral